Molecule: ribosomal RNA, 300 nt
Filed under: uncultured Formosa sp.
Lineage: Bacteria; Pseudomonadati; Bacteroidota; Flavobacteriia; Flavobacteriales; Flavobacteriaceae
Description: bacterial SSU rRNA
Rfam family: Bacterial small subunit ribosomal RNA (bases 52-300)
Source: RNAcentral
UGAAAGCGGGGGAGGGGUGGGGCGGGAAUGCGGAGUGUGGAUUGUGUCUGCGGAUUAGCUGGGUUCUAAGGGUGCGGAGGCGUAUUUGUAAGUCAGUGGUGAAAUCUCCAGGCUGAACCUGGAAACUGCCGUGGAUACUAUAAAUCUUGAAUGUUGUGGAGGUUAGCGGAAUAUGUCAUGUAGCGGUGAAAUGCAUAGAUAUGACAUAGAACACCAAUUGCGAAGGCAGCUGGCUACACAAAUAUUGACGUUGAGGCACGAAAGCGUGGGGAUCAAACAGGAUUAGAUACCCGUGUAGUC